RNAcentral lists this ribosomal RNA (380 nucleotides) under uncultured eukaryote. Its description in RNAcentral is "partial 18S ribosomal RNA". It matches the Rfam family "Eukaryotic small subunit ribosomal RNA", at positions 592 to 975 of the family's 1831-position model. The record is from RNAcentral.
CAAUAGCGUAUAUUAAAGCUGUUGCGGUUAAAAAGCUCGUAGUUGGAUUUCUGUCAAGGACAACUGGUCCGCCCUCCGGGUGAGCACAUAGUUUGGUCUUGGCAUCUUGCUGGAAACUGUUGCUGCGCUUGGUUGUGUGGUGCGGCUUUCAGCACUUUCACUUUGAGGAAAUUGGAGUGUUUCAAGCAGGCACAUGCCUUUGGACACAGUAGCAUGGAAUAAUUAGAUUGGGCUUUUGCUCCAACUUGUUGGUUCCUGGAGCUGAGGUGAGAAUCAAUGGGGAUUGUUGGGGGCAUCCGAAUUUAGCCGUCAGAGGUGAAAUUCUUGGAUCUGCUAAAGACGGACGACUGCGAANGNGUUUGCNCAGGAUGUUUNCAUUG